AUGCGAGUCGAACGGUAACGGGUCUUCUUAUGCUGACGAGUGGCGAACGGGUGAGUAAUACGUCGGAACGUGCCCAGUAAUGGGGGAUAGCUCGGCGAAAGCCGGAUUAAUACCGCAUACACCCUGAAGGGGAAAGUGGGGGAUCGCAAGACCUCACGUUAUUGGAGCGGCCGAUGGCUGAUUAGCUAGUUGGUACGGUAAAGGCCUACCAAGGCGACUAUCACUAGCUGGGCUGAGAGGACGAUCAGCCACACUGGGACUGAGACACGGCCCAGACUCCUACGGGACGCUCCACUGGGGAAUUUUGGACAAUGGGGGAAACCCUGAUCCAGCAAUGCCGCGUGUGCGAACAAGGCCUUCGGGUUGUAAAGCACUUUUGUCAGGCAACAAAUCCUUUGGGCUAAUACCCUACGGGGAUGACGGGACCUGAAGAAUAACCACCGGCUAACUACCUGCCAUCACCCGCGGUAAUACGUAGGGUGCAAGCGUUAAUCGGAAUUACUGGGCGUAAAGCGUGCGCAGGCGGUUGUGUAAGAGAGGUGUGAAAUCCCCGGGCUUAACCUGUGAAUUGCGUUUGUGACUGCACGACUAGAGAGUGUCAAAGGGGGGUGGAAUUCCACGUGUAGCAGUGACAUGCGUAGAUAUGUGGAGGAUCACCAAUGGCGAAGGCAGCCCCCUGGGAUAACACUGACGCUCAUGCACGAAAGCGUGGGGAGCAAACAGGAUUAGAUACCCUGGUAGUCCACGCCAUAAACGAUGUCAACUAGUUGUUGGGGAUUUACUUCCUUGGUAACGUAGCUAACGCGUGAAGUUGACCGCCUGGGGAGUACGGCCGCAAGGUUAAUACUCAAAGGAAUUGACGGGGACCCGCACAAGCGGUGGAUGAUGUGGAUUAAUUCGAUGCAACGCGAAAAACCUUACCUACCCUUGACAUGGCAGGAACUUUCCAGAGAUGGAUUGGUGCUCGAAAGAGAACCUGCACACAGGUGCUGCAUGGCUGUCGUCAGCCCGUGUCGUGAGAUGUUGGGUUAAGUCCCGCAACGAGCGCAACCCUUGUCAUUAGUUGCUACGAAAGGGCACUCUAAUGAGACUGCCGGUGACAAACCGGAGGAAGGUGGGGAUGACGUCAAGUCCUCAUGGCCCUUAUGGGUAGGGCUUCACACGUCAUACAAUGGUCGGUACAGAGGGUUGCCAAGCCGCGAGGUGGAGCCAAUCCCAGAAAACCGAUCGUAGUCCGGAUCGCAGUCUGCAACUCGACUGCGUGAAGUCGGAAUCGCUAGUAAUCGCGGAUCAGAAUGCCGCGGUGAAUACGUUCCCGGGUCUUGUACACACCGCCCGUCACACCAUGGGAGUGGGUUCUACCAGAAGUGGCUAGUCUAACCGAAAGGAGGACGGUCACCACGGUAGGAUUCAUGACUG
This 1419-nucleotide ribosomal RNA is filed under the name uncultured organism. Its description in RNAcentral is "SSU rRNA". It matches the Rfam family "Bacterial small subunit ribosomal RNA". The record is from RNAcentral.